RNAcentral lists this ribosomal RNA (433 nucleotides) under uncultured bacterium. Its description in RNAcentral is "bacterial SSU rRNA". It matches the Rfam family "Bacterial small subunit ribosomal RNA", at positions 29 to 461 of the family's 1533-position model. The record is from RNAcentral.
AUUGAACGCUGGCGGCAUGCCUAACACAUGCAAGUCGAACGGCAGCACGGGAGCUUGCUCCUGGUGGCGAGUGGCGGACGGGUGAGUAAUGCAUAGGAAUCUGCCCAGUAGCGGGGGACAACUUGGGGAAACUCAAGCUAAUACCGCAUGCGCCCUACGGGGGAAAGCGGGGGACCUUCGGGCCUCGCACUAUUGGAUGAGCCUAUGUCAGAUUAGCUUGUUGGUGGGGUAACGGGCCUACCAAGGCGACGAUCUGUAGCUGGUCUGAGAGGACGAUCAGCCACACUGGGACUGAGACACGGCCCAGACUCCUACGGGAGGCAGCAGUGGGGAAUAUUGCACAUGGGCGAAAGCCUGAUGCAGCAAUGCCGCGUGUGUGAAGAAGGCCUGCGGGUUGUAAAGCACUUUCAGUAGGGAGGAACAGUAGCCGGUU